RNAcentral lists this ribosomal RNA (464 nucleotides) under uncultured bacterium. RNAcentral's name for it is "partial 16S ribosomal RNA". It matches the Rfam family "Bacterial small subunit ribosomal RNA", at positions 28 to 507 of the family's 1533-position model. The record is from RNAcentral.
GACGAACGCUGGCGGCGUGCUUAACACAUGCAAGUCGAACGGAAAGGCCCUGCUUGCAGGGUACACGAGUGUCGAACGCGUGUGUAACACGUGGGUGUUCUGUCCCGCACACUGGGGUAAACCCGUGAAACUGGGUCUAAUAUCGCGGAGGAGCCCUCUUUUGUGUGAUGGUUGGAGAGAUUUUUCGGGGUGGGAUGAGCUCGCGGCCCAUCAGCUUGUUGGUGGGGUAAUGGCCUACCAAGGCGGCGACGGGUAGCCGGCCUGAGAGGGUGGACGGCCACAUUGGGACUGAGAUACGGCCCAGACUCCUACGGGAGGCAGCAGUGGGGAAUAUUGCACAAUGGGCGCAAGCCUGAUGCAGCGACGCCGCGUGGGGGAUGACGGCCUUCGGGUUGUAAACUCCUUUCGCUAGGGACGAAGCGUUUGUGACGGUACCUGGAGAAGAAGCACCGGCUAACUACGUG